UCAGGCUGUCCAGUAACAUGCUAUACAUCAGGUCAGGCUGUCCAGUAACAUGCUAUACAUCAGGACAGGCUGUCCAGUAACAUGCUAUACAUCAGGUCAGGCUGUCCAGUAACAUGCUAUACAUCAGGUCAGGCUGUCCAGUAACAUGCUAUACAUCAGGUCAGGCUGUCCAGUAACAUGCUAUACAUCAGGUCAGGCUGUCCAGUAAUACAUCAGGUCAGGCUGUCCAGUAAUACAUCAGGUCAGGCUGUCCAGUAACAUGCUAUACAUCAGGUCAGGCUGUCCAGUAACAUGCUAUACAUCAGGUCAGGCUGUCCAGUAACAUGCUAUACAUCAGGUCAGGCUGUCCAGUAACAUGCUAUACAUCAGGUCAGGCUGUCCAGUAAUACAUCAGGUCAGGCUGUCCAGUAACAUGCUAUACAUCAGGUCAGGCUGUCCAGUAAUACAUCAGGUCAGGCUGUCCAGUAACAUGCUAUACAUCAGGUCAGGCUGUCCAGUAAUACAUCAGGUCAGGCUGUCCAGUAAUACAUCAGGUCAGGCUGUCCAGUAAUACAUCAGGUCAGGCUGUCCAGUAACAUGCUAUACAUCAGGUCAGGCUGUCCAGUAACAUGCUAUACAUCAGGUCAGGCUGUCCAGUAAUACAUCAGGUCAGGCUGUCCAGUAACAUGCUAUACAUCAGGUCAGGCUGUCCAGUAACAUGCUAUACAUCAGGUCAGGCUGUCCAGUAAUACAUCAGGUCAGGCUGUCCAGUAAUACAUCAGGUCAGGCUGUCCAGUAAUACAUCAGGUCAGGCUGUCCAGUAACAUGCUAUACAUCAGGUCAGGCUGUCCAGUAACAUGCUAUACAUCAGGUCAGGCUGUCCAGUAACAUGCUAUACAUCAGGUCAGGCUGUCCAGUAACAUGCUAUACAUCAGGUCAGGCUGUCCAGUAACAUGCUAUACAUCAGGUCAGGCUGUCCAGUAAUACAUCAGGUCAGGCUGUCCAGUAAUACAUCAGGUCAGGCUGUCCAGUAAUACAUCAGGUCAGGCUGUCCAGUAAUACAUCAGGUCAGGCUGUCCAGUAAUACAUCAGGUCAGGCUGUCCAGUAACAUGCUAUACAUCAGGUCAGGCUGUCCAGUAAUACAUCAGGUCAGGCUGUCCAGUAAUACAUCAGGUCAGGCUGUCCAGUAACAUGCUAUACAUCAGGUCAGGCUGUCCAGUAAUACAUCAGGUCAGGCUGUCCAGUAAUACAUCAGGUCAGGCUGUCCAGUAAUACAUCAGGUCAGGCUGUCCAGUAACA
Molecule: long non-coding RNA, 1279 nt
Organism: Oncorhynchus keta (chum salmon)
Lineage: Eukaryota; Metazoa; Chordata; Actinopteri; Salmoniformes; Salmonidae
Exons: 4
Source: RefSeq, a predicted model, not a curated record